Bufo bufo (common toad) is the source of this 629-nucleotide long non-coding RNA. RefSeq lists it as uncharacterized. The transcript has 3 exons. Lineage: Eukaryota; Metazoa; Chordata; Amphibia; Anura; Bufonidae. The record is from RefSeq and is a predicted model, not a curated record.
GGCUCUUUGUCUCCCCUCAUCCAGGUCACUAACUCGCUCCUCACUAAGUUACCCCCACUAACUCUGCUUAUAGCUUUUCUAAUGCCUGAUAUAAGAGGCACGAGGUUCCCCUCACUUCCCUUUACUAUCCCUAAUGCUUGGAGUUGUCUGAUACCCUAUGGAUACCGUACAGUCCGACCGCCUCCACCUUGUGAGGAGAAUGAUGAUGCGUCCCGAUGGAGCAUGAGAAGAACGAGCAGAAAUCCUACAAAGGCCUCACAGGGCUGAGACGACAUCUGCUUCUCCUCCUGCCGCAGGACAGACGACCAGACAACUAAAUGAAACUGGACUAUUCGUUUAAAUUAUGAGAAGAGCGGUGUCUGUAUCCUUCACUCAUAGAUAUAUUGUUGGGCUGCCCGUACUUGAUGCAGCCGGCAGCAGGAUCCGCAUGCGGCUCACUGCAACGUGCUUCAAAUAGCUUGUAGAGGCGCGGCCCAGCAAUUAGCAGUGAGCCUGAGGAUCCCGCUGCUGUCCCCACAUUGUGUACGGGAAGCCCAACAGGUCUGGACAAGAUGAUAUCAGUGACGUCAGCACCAGGCGGAGUUGAGACAACUUCCCGUUCAUUGACACAGUGACGUAGCUAGAAAUGA